This 253-nucleotide ribosomal RNA is filed under the name uncultured bacterium. Its description in RNAcentral is "partial 16S ribosomal RNA". It matches the Rfam family "Bacterial small subunit ribosomal RNA", at positions 524 to 776 of the family's 1533-position model. The record is from RNAcentral.
GACAGAGGUGCCAAGCGUUAGGCGGAAUCACUGGGCUUAAAGCGUGUGUAGGCGGGCGGGCAAGUACCUUGUGAAAUCCCACGGCUCAACCGUGGAACGGCUGGGUAUACUGCCCGUCUUGAGCCAGCUAGGGGCGACCGGAACAGACGGUGGAGCGGUGAAAUGCGUAGAUAUCGUCUGGAACGCCAAAGGUGAAAACAGGUCGCUGGGGCUGAGCUGACGCUGAGACACGAAAGCCAGGGGAGCGAACGGG